AGUGAACGCUGGCGGUAGGCCUAACACAUGCAAGUCGAACGGCAGCACAGUAAGAGCUUGCUCUUACGGGUGGCGAGUGGCGGACGGGUGAGGAAUACAUCGGAAUCUACUUUUUCGUGGGGGAUAACGUAGGGAAACUUACGCUAAUACCGCAUACGACCUACGGGUGAAAUCAGGGGAGCUUCGGACCUUGCGCGAUUGAAUGAGCCGAUGUCGGAUUAGCUAGUUGGCGGGGUAAAGGCCCACCAAGGCAACGAUCCGUAGCUGGUCUGAGAGGAUGAUCAGCCACACUGGAACGGAGACACGGUCCAGACUCCUACGGGAGGCAGCAGUGGGGAAUCUUGGGCAAUGGGCGCAAGCCUGAACCAGCCACACCGCGUGAGUGAAGAAGGGCUUCGGAUUGUAAAGCCCUUUUGUUGGGAAAGAAAAGAAGCGGAUUAAUACCCGCACAUCCUGACGGUACCCAAACAAAAAGCACCGGCUAACUUCGUG
Molecule: ribosomal RNA, 492 nt
Filed under: uncultured bacterium
Lineage: Bacteria
Description: partial 16S ribosomal RNA
Rfam family: Bacterial small subunit ribosomal RNA
Source: RNAcentral